UACGAAGGGUGCAAGCGUUACUCGGAAUUACUGGGCGUAAAGCGUGCGUAGGCGGUUUGUUAAGUCCGUUGUGAAAGCCCUGGGCUCAACCUGGGAAUUGCAGUGGAUACUGGCGAGCUAGAGUGCGGUAGAGGAUGGUGGAAUUCCCGGUGUAGCGGUGAAAUGCGUAGAGAUCGGGAGGAACACCCGUGGCGAAGGCGGAUCUCUGGGCCGUAACUGACGCUGAGGAGCGAAAGCGUGGGGAGCAAACAGG
Molecule: ribosomal RNA, 253 nt
Filed under: uncultured bacterium
Lineage: Bacteria
Description: partial 16S ribosomal RNA
Rfam family: Bacterial small subunit ribosomal RNA
Source: RNAcentral